GGAUUUUGGAAGGACAGUUAUAUUCCUUUUGGGGAUUAUACUGGAGUCAAUUUCUUGUUUGCCAAAGAUAAGUCUGAAAUGAUGGCAAACACUGAGUCUCACUCUUUAAAUAUCUGAGGGUAUGUUCUAUACAUAGAAGCUCAGGGCUGGGGGAUAGGGAUUACUUUAAAAGGGUGUGAGCUGUCAUUGACAAUGCAAAGACAACAUGUAUUUAUCAAAUGUCUAUACUCUAUCAGGAUAAAAUGAAACAGAUUUUCUCCCAGUUCUAGAAGUGAUCCUUUAGGAGAUGGAACGUAAUGACUGCUAAACUACAUUCAGCAUAUAAAUCUGUGGCCACCUCUGAUUUUAUGAAUGGAAUGGCCAGGAAGUGUUCAGAAUUUGACCAAGCGCCGGAGUGAAGUGGCCGCUUGAUUAAAGCCCCUGAAACUGCUGUUGUUCUCUCAGCUGCCCAGUGGGAUGAAAGGACCGUGUGUCACUAUGGACACGGCGUGGCAAAGCAAGGAUCCAUAUGCCCUGCAGGAAGUGUGGUGCUUUUCGUUUUCUUUAAACUGAGAGACAAUCUCUUCCUGGCCAGCUGGCAAGCACAGGGAACUGAAUAAGGUUCAUGCCCUACAGUGACUGUAGGCAGGUGCAUCGCUUCCAGGAGGUGGCCUUGGUUCUUCCAUUGCAAGAACAAACAAUUUGAAAAUUAUCCAAAAGUUUGAUUGGUGUCUGGGAGGCAGGAAGCAUUGCCUGAGUAGCUACCUGUCUUACAGCAUGUUCUCCAGAGCUGAUGUUUGGGUCUGAUGAAGGAAGUGCCAUCUGCAUCUGAUGAGACCAACUGAGCUUUUUUGGGAACAUUUUCCAGGAAGAAUUUGUCUCUAGCGCACUGUUCAAUGAACAUACACUUGGAAAAGGAAAUGGUUUGAAACUUAUCACAAACUUUGGAAGAAAAGGUAUCUGGCCUUCAUGGAGGAACAAGAAGUGACUCAAAGACGUUGAUUGUACUGUGGUCUUAAAUCAGUUUUAUUCACUGGUUUAUUCACACCUAUUACUUACUGUGCUUAUGGUGAAAGUACAUUUUUCUCCCUUAAGUACGAGGAGGGCAUGGUGUUUCACUGCCUGCCUCAAAAUGUUAACGUUUACUUUUGCUGCCCCUGAACUUACAAUGUCAACUACCUUUGCAGCAUCUUUGCAGUGGGGAAGAAUGAAGCAACAGGAUUAAUAAUUACGAAAAGCCACACAAUAGGGGGAAGUGUGGUGUGCUGAUAGGAAGUGAAUGAAAUGAGGUCGCUGACUCUGCUUGGACCUGCGGUAUAUUUCAACUGUAACCUUCAAUACCUCUUGCUAUGCCCAUCUCCUGUCCUUCUUUAUCAGAGACUUUCAAGUUCAC
Gallus gallus (chicken) is the source of this 1372-nucleotide long non-coding RNA. Lineage: Eukaryota; Metazoa; Chordata; Aves; Galliformes; Phasianidae. The record is from Ensembl.